GGUCAAUAGCCUAACGGCUGAACCAGCAACUUGGAAGAAUGUAAUGGGCCUGAAAACCAUGUGUAUUAAUUACGGAGUAACUCUGUUACAUAAAGUUCAGGAUAGAUGUAUGAUAAUGACAUUAUUUAUCCUUAAGUCUUGACCAAGUCACGUGCCAGCAGUCGCGGUAACACGUGGAAGACAAGUGUUAUUCAUCUUUAUUGGGUUUAAAGGGUACCUAGACAGUUAAUCAAGCCUAAAUCAGGGACUAGUUAGCUAGAGUUUUAUGAGAGAAGGCUAGAACAGUGAGUGGAGAGAUGAAAUUCUUUGAUACCAUUUAGAUACUGACAACGGCGAAGGCAACCUUUUAUGUAAAAACUGACGUUGAGGGACGAAGGCUCAUGUAAGUAACGGGAUUAGGUACCCCAGUACUCCGAGCAGACAAUGAUGAGUGUCAUAUAUAAGUAGAUAUUAUACAUUAUCAUAUAUCAUAUUAUUAUUUAUGUAUAAAUGAAAGUGUAAGCACUCCACCUUAAGAGUAACAUGGCAACAUAGGAACUGAAAUCAUUAGAUCGUUUCUGAAACCAGUAGUGAAGUAUGUUGUUUAAUUUGAUGAUCCACAAAGAACCUUACCAUAAUUUGAAUAGAUUUCUUACAUAAGGAAUUUACAGGAGUUGCACGGCUGUCUUCGAGUUGAUAUCGUGAGAUUUUGGUUAGCUCCDAUUUAAUCAAACGUAAACCCUUACUUUAUUUUCUAUAAUAAAAAGUAAGUUCACCGCUACAUUGGUACAGAUAACA
Molecule: ribosomal RNA, 777 nt
Filed under: Porina lectissima
Lineage: Eukaryota; Fungi; Ascomycota; Lecanoromycetes; Ostropales; Porinaceae
Description: SSU rRNA
Rfam family: Bacterial small subunit ribosomal RNA
Source: RNAcentral